Molecule: ribosomal RNA, 466 nt
Filed under: uncultured bacterium
Lineage: Bacteria
Description: partial 16S ribosomal RNA
Rfam family: Bacterial small subunit ribosomal RNA
Source: RNAcentral
GACGAACGCUGGCGGCGCGCCUAACACAUGCAAGUCGAACGAGCGAGAGGAGGUUUACUUUCUCAAGCGAGUGGCGAACGGGUGAGUAACGCGUGAGGAACCUGCCUCAAAGAGGGGGACAACAGUUGGAAACGACUGCUAAUACCGCAUAAGCCCACGACCCGGCAUCGGGUAGAGGGAAAAGGAGCAAUCCGCUUUGAGAUGGCCUCGCGUCCGAUUAGCUAGUUGGUGAGGUAAUGGCCCGCCAAGGCGACGAUCGGUAGCCGGACUGAGAGGUUGAACGGCCACAUUGGGACUGAGACACGGCCCAGACUCCUACGGGAAGCAGCAGUGGGGAAUAUUGCACAAUGGGGGAAACCCUGAUGCAGCGACGCCGCGUGGAGGAAGAAGGUCUUCGGAUUGUAAACUCCUGUUGUUGAGGAAGAUAAUGACGGUACUCAACAAGGAAGUGACGGCUAACUACGUG